CUGGUCUUCAGAAGUCCUGGACAUGUCAUUUUGGUCUCAAGUCCUGGACAUGUAUGAAAUGCAUUUUACAAGGGAAAUCAAUUAUGUUCAGACCCAAACUUCAAUUCCUCUUUACUGCCAUUCCCCACAACAACCAUUUCAACACCUAAGGCACCAAAGUAUUAGUAGCCAAUCUCUAACCCCAACUGGAAUCAAAAUAGAACAUGCUCUAAGCCUUACCAUGAUUAAUUCCCUGCAUGACCAAAUCAGCAGCUCUCUUCCUCUCCAAAACUUGUUGUUGUAGAUCCCUAAAUCUCAUGCAUAUGCCCAAAAUCGACGAAGACACAGUACUCCACACCUCAUAGAUACCAAAACAGCUGAUAAUUCAGUUCAAUACAGAGGCUUCAACUAAGAAAAGGAAGACGGGGGUUACCUAUCAAAUACUGAGAGCGGUGGAGCUAGGGUGGAGUCAUGGCGGCUCUGAUCGGAACUAGAGAUCUAGACUGGCCUCGCCUCGC
RNAcentral lists this long non-coding RNA (497 nucleotides) under Fragaria vesca (wild strawberry). Its description in RNAcentral is "long non-coding RNA (FVES_LNC004810)". The record is from RNAcentral. Lineage: Eukaryota; Viridiplantae; Streptophyta; Magnoliopsida; Rosales; Rosaceae.